Molecule: ribosomal RNA, 218 nt
Filed under: uncultured prokaryote
Description: partial 16S ribosomal RNA
Rfam family: Bacterial small subunit ribosomal RNA
Source: RNAcentral
UACGUAGGGGGCAAACGUUGUCCGGAUUUACUGGGUGUAAAGGGUGCUCAGGCGGUUUUGUAAGUCAGAAGUGAAAUCCUAGAGCUUAACUCUGGAACUGCUUUUGAUACUGCAAAGCUUGAAUGUGGAAGAGGAGGAUGGAAUUUCUGGUGUAGCAGUGAAAUGCGUAGAUAUCAGAAAGAACACCAGUGGCGAAGGCGAUCCUCUGGUCCAUUAUU